UACGUAGGGGGCAAGCGUUGUCCGGAUUUAUUGGGCGUAAAGAGCGUGUAGGCGGCCAUGCAGGUCAGCUGUGAAACUCGAGGCUCAACCUCGAGACGUCGGUUGAAACCGGUAUGGCUAGAGUCCGGAAGAGGAGAGUGGAAUUCCUGGAUGUAGCGGUGAAAUGCGCAGAUAUCAGGAGGAACACCGAUGGCGAAGGCAGGUCUCCUGGGC
RNAcentral lists this ribosomal RNA (213 nucleotides) under uncultured bacterium. RNAcentral describes it as "partial 16S ribosomal RNA". It matches the Rfam family "Bacterial small subunit ribosomal RNA", at positions 524 to 735 of the family's 1533-position model. The record is from RNAcentral.